ACGUUCUUUGACAGUUCACGUUCAGGCUUCAGCGCCUUCGGUGCUCUUGUAACCGCCAACCGGCCUUCGGUGACCGAUGAUGUGCUGUGUUCACCUCCAGCUCGUUCGACUUUGCCCGACGAUAUGAACAGUAUAUCCUAAGACAAAGUAUGAUAUGGGUGUCACCUGAAUACAUAUUCUUCGGCGUUAGCGAAAUGGGCCAUCAAAUUUCCGGGAACUUUGCUCUGCAGUUUUCGACCUUAUUUGCGAAAUGCCUGUAGAUGUCAGCUGAAACAUUCCAUGACUAGAUUUAUGGUAACAAAGAAGUUACCAUUCAAACCAGGCGUAUUUCGACCAUUUGAAUAAUUGAAAAUAUACUGUCCAUCCAAGUCGUCACCCACAUCCAAGUUAUGAGUUUAGUGUAUAGGACCAAAACCUGUUUACUGUUCACCAGAAGUACUUUUGCUUCCAGCUUCGAUUUACGCAACGCCAAUUCUAAGGUCAUUGGUCUGUGUAUCCAUAAGUUGUCACAUAAGAAUAACUGGCUUGUGUGUAUUUUACGCGUGAUGUAUCUGCAUUCGUAUUCUUAAGUCUGGUUUUCCUUACAUGAGGUUCAAUGUUUGAAGAGUUUUCUCCAUAUAGUUUUAUACUUUGUGCUUUUUUAGUCAAGACUGAUGUGGUUUCAAACCGUCUUGCCUCAGCUUCCUUUCUCAUCCUUGUAGACGUAGUGUUACUACUACUUGCUCUGAUUUUCAGUCUUCAGCUCUCCAUUGCCAUCUUCCAGUAUACAAACAUUAUUGUAAGACUUCUUUCUCUGACUCUGCUCUCACUUACAUUGAUCCCUUUCUGUAUUUCCCAUUACCUUCUGUUACUUCUGUCGAAUGACCACCAUAUUCUUUGGAAGCUUGAAUUUCAGGUUAGGGGACCUUGUGGGCUUCUUUUUUACGAAUAGGGUUCAUCUUCUGAAUAUUAAUAAUAAUAAUAAUGAUAAUAAUAGAAAUAACAACUGGACAUAUGCAUACACAAACUCCUAGGGGCCUCCCUGUAAUUUUCUCUGUGACUGAUCUGGAUGGGCACACGUGAUUUCAAAUUCUGUGGCUGUUUCUACCACUAUAUUCCCGGAAGUUGUAACAUCAUGAUAAAGUUCCAGCACUUGUUAAGUAAGACCUUCUUGUGCCCUUUGCUGUUGUAAGGUCCCAUCUAAUUGCUUGUCCGGGUACUUGGUUGAAUGCUUUCUCAAGACAUACCACCGUAUCACUUCCUUUUCUAACAUGUAUCUUCUUAUGUAGUCAUUGAUUUUAAAAGAUAUUUAUUAAACAUUUUUUCCAUCACCCAUACUUAUCACACUGUGUUUCAGCAGUCUUAGUUCCUCGGACGAGUGGUUUUCGCGCUCGGCUACCAUCCCGGUGGCGCGAAGUUCGAUUCUCGGCUCAGCCAAGGCAGAAGCAGAGGAAUUUAUUUCUGGUGAUAGAAAUUCAUUUCUCGACAUAAUGGGGUUCGGAUCCCACAAUGAGCUGUAGGUCCCGUUGCUAGGUGACCAUUUGGUUCCUAGCCACGUAAAACUAUCUAAUCCUUCGGGCGAGCCCUAGGAGAGCUGUUAAUCAGCUCAGUGGUCUGGUAAAACUAAGAUAUACUCAACUUCAGCAGUCUUCCUCUUCCUUUCUAUUUUGAUCAGUGUAGUGAUGUUCUUUAACCUUUACCUGUAAGUCUUGUGAUUCUCUCACUCCUUUUAGUGCCACUUGGAUAAUACUGUCUUAAGGUACCUUACAAUGUUCCUCCUUGUGUCUGACUUGUUCACAUUUGUAUACUGUAUGAAUAACUUGAUCAUGAAAUAUAUAAAAAAAAAUUUCAUGGCAUUUGUAUACUGUAUAUGUAUUUCUUGGUGUAUAUUUGUAGGCAUUUAUUAAUUUUCAUUACGUCUAUUCCACGUACGACAUUAUGUCCUGAUAGUUAUGGUGU
Molecule: long non-coding RNA, 1938 nt
Organism: Macrobrachium nipponense
Lineage: Eukaryota; Metazoa; Arthropoda; Malacostraca; Decapoda; Palaemonidae
Exons: 4
Source: RefSeq, a predicted model, not a curated record